Non-coding RNA from Branchiostoma floridae (Florida lancelet), 72 nucleotides. The record is from Rfam. Lineage: Eukaryota; Metazoa; Chordata; Leptocardii; Amphioxiformes; Branchiostomatidae.
GGCUCGCUGGUCUAGUGGUAUGAUUCUCGCUUAGGGUGCGAGAGGUCCCGGGUUCAAUUCCCGGGCGAGCCC